CUGAAGAUAUGGUUAUCAAAGCAAUUAAAGAAAAUGGAGGGGAAAUACAGAUACGAUAUUAGAGACUCUGUUGACGUAUUCGGCUCUUGAAAAGUCUGCACCCAUGCAACAUGUUGAUU
This is a long non-coding RNA of Hibiscus syriacus, 119 nucleotides long. RefSeq lists it as uncharacterized. The transcript has 3 exons. NCBI's taxonomy places the organism in Eukaryota, Viridiplantae, Streptophyta, Magnoliopsida, Malvales, Malvaceae. The record is from RefSeq and is a predicted model, not a curated record.